AAGGAGAAGAACCGGGAGCCCGGAGCGGAGCGUGUUUCAGAGGUGCGUAUAAAAUCCCAGGGGCGUCAGGAGGCAGCAGCGACGGCGCAGCGUGGGACAGCCAGGCGCGACGGGAGGGAAGCAACCGGUUGCAGUCCGGCCUCCUGUACCUGGCUGGCCCGGGUUGGGGCUGCAAGCUUUCCAGUCAAACUUAACGUGAAGUAAAGUAGUUGCAGUUUGACAAAGAAUGGCGUUUC
RNAcentral lists this long non-coding RNA (236 nucleotides) under Pongo abelii (Sumatran orangutan). It matches the Rfam family "WT1 antisense RNA conserved region 3". Lineage: Eukaryota; Metazoa; Chordata; Mammalia; Primates; Hominidae. The record is from RNAcentral.